This 86-nucleotide transfer RNA is filed under the name Chloroflexota bacterium. RNAcentral describes it as "tRNA-Leu". It matches the Rfam family "tRNA". Rfam says of the family: Transfer RNA (tRNA) molecules are approximately 80 nucleotides in length. Their secondary structure includes four short double-helical elements and three loops (D, anti-codon, and T loops). The record is from RNAcentral. Lineage: Bacteria; Bacillati; Chloroflexota. RNAcentral also lists the same sequence under 2 other names.
GCCGGGGUGGCGAAAUGGCAGACGCACCGCACUCAAAAUGCGGCGGGGGUGACCCCGUGAGGGUUCGAAUCCCUCUCCCGGCACCA